RNAcentral lists this ribosomal RNA (253 nucleotides) under uncultured bacterium. Its description in RNAcentral is "partial 16S ribosomal RNA". It matches the Rfam family "Bacterial small subunit ribosomal RNA", at positions 524 to 776 of the family's 1533-position model. The record is from RNAcentral.
UACGUAGGGAGCAAGCGUUGUUCGGAUUUACUGGGCGUAAAGGGCGCGUAGGCGGCAACUCAAGUCAUCUGUGAAAUCUCCGGGCUUAACUCGGAACGGUCAGAUGAUACUGUUUUGCUAGAGUGCAGAAGGGGCAAUCGGAAUUCUUGGUGUAGCGGUGAAAUGCGUAGAUAUCAAGAGGAACACCUGAGGUGAAGACGGGUUGCUGGGCCGAUACUGACGCUGAGGAGCGAAAGCGUGGGGAGCGAACAGG